AUCGAACGCUGGCGGCAGGCCUCACACAUGCACGUCGAACGAGUGGCGGACGGGUGAGUAAUGUCUGGGAAACUGCCCGAUGGAGGGGGAUAACUACUGGAAACGGUAGCUAAUACCGCCUACCAUCGGAUGUGCCCAGAUGGGAUUGGCUAGUAGGUGGGGUAACGGCUCACCUAGGCGACGAUCCCUAGCUGGUCUGAGAGGAUGACCAGCCACAGUGGGACUGAGACGCGGUCCAGACGCCGACGAGAGGCAGCAGGGGGGAAGAUUGCAAAAUGGGCGCAAGCCUGGUGCAGCCAUGCCGCGUGGUUGAAGAAGGUCGUCGGAUUGUAAAGCACGUUAAGUUGGGAGGCGUUACCAACAGAAUAAGCACGGGCUAACUUCGUGCCAGCAGCCGCGGUAAUAC
Molecule: ribosomal RNA, 406 nt
Filed under: uncultured bacterium
Lineage: Bacteria
Description: partial 16S ribosomal RNA
Rfam family: Bacterial small subunit ribosomal RNA
Source: RNAcentral